This 1641-nucleotide long non-coding RNA is filed under the name Mytilus galloprovincialis (Mediterranean mussel). The record is from RNAcentral. Lineage: Eukaryota; Metazoa; Mollusca; Bivalvia; Mytilida; Mytilidae.
UAGAUGGCGUCUAGACUAAAUAACACACGAAACGAAGCUACGUAUUUCAUGCCUUGCCUGUUUAUUGUUUUAUUUAGAACUUUUAAUAAUUUGGAGAAAUGUUUUACAUUGUUAUAAAUCAAAUAUGAGAAUUUGAUUAGAAUCGGUGAACAUGAACUUGACAGAUAGUGCCCCUUUAAUAAUCGUUAAUUAAUGUAAGCCAGAACAUUAUCAUUCCAGAAGUAUGCAUGAUAUGAUAUAUUUCGCAUAGGAUAUUUAUUCUUAAACAAUCUGUACAUGGGAAUAGAAAACCCAUAGUGUUUUAAUUUUUUCAACAUUUGAACACAUUCUUCAUAUAAACUGUGCUAUCAACAAUUCAUCAACAAGUUAUGUGUGUUCAAAUUAAAACAAAGAAACAAUAUUUUAAAAAUCGAUUAUUCCUUUAAGAUAUUUUCCUUUUUUGACAACAAUUUAUAUAGAUCGUCUAAGUAAUUGCAUGUAUAUGAGUGAUCUUAAAUUUUAUUUGCAUUAAACUAAUAAAAUCUAAUAACAUUCAUCUCAUUACAGUAAGCCUAUAUGGUAACGUUUGAAAAAAAUGCUGUUUUCCAUUUUAUUUUGUUGAUAUGUUUGUAAGAAAGCAUCUGGUCUAGCUCACCCUUCAGGAGCACCUGAGAUCACCCCUAGUUUUUAGUGGGGUUCGUGUUGCUUAUUCAUUAGUGUUCUAUGUUGAGUCAUGUGUACUAUUGUUUGUCUGUUUGUCUUUUUUUUUCAUUUUUAGCCAUGGCGUUGUCAGUUUAUUUUCGAUUUAUGAGUUUGACUGUCCCUCUGGUAUCUUUCGUCCCUCUUUUACAGAGUCCAAUCUUGUUAUUUUGACAUGUACAUCUAGCGCAACAUUAAAUCAAAGAAACAUGCUAACAUUAUGUGACAAUUUUUUUUUAUAAUUAUUCAUAUUCAUCUAUGCUAUUAAACGAAACGUCUUAUGAAUUUGUGUGUCCUUGAAAUAAAUGCCAAACACUACAUAUCUCAUUUUGAACACUAGAUUCCUCACAUCAUUAAAACAUAUAUAAGGAAAUGAACUAUCAUUGUCCAGAGUUUCAUGUUUUGAAGAAGUAUACCUGAAAGUAAAUACAUCGAGAGAUUUUUUUUAACAUAGAUAGUGAGAGAUUAAGGGAUUUUUUUAGGCAUCAAAGCACUCAUAAAAAACCCACAGUUUUCAAUAUUGAGUCAUAAUAUGUCAAAAUCUUUCUUGGUUCAUUGAUUUAUUUGCUGGACUCCGGUUGAUAGGAAUGUUUGUAUGGCGUGAAAUAAAUGUGAACUUGCUUGAAGUUAUACAUUUGAUACAUAAAUACAUCAUAAAUACCAGGAUUGAAAUUUUAUAUAUUGGUACCAGACGCGCGUUUCAUCUACAAAAGACACUUUAGUGACGCUCGAAUAAAAAAAUAUAAACGUCUGCUCUUCCAUGUGUCUUUCUAGAACCAUCAAACUUCCUUGAAUAUAUAUUAUAAAUUAGCACUUUAUUCUGUGGUCACUUGUCCAUAUCUUUAUACAUUAUCUAGAUAUUUUGAACAGUAACUUACCAUUAUAAAGUGUUACCUUGUUACAUGAAAUUAAGAUAUGGGCUUCGUAAACAGGUUUGGAAAAACGUUUCUGCGUCCGUCUCCC